RNAcentral lists this long non-coding RNA (1367 nucleotides) under Piliocolobus tephrosceles (Ugandan red Colobus). Its description in RNAcentral is "lncRNA (ENSPTEG00000021071.1)". Lineage: Eukaryota; Metazoa; Chordata; Mammalia; Primates; Cercopithecidae. The record is from RNAcentral.
GCGCUACUGCACUCCAGCCUGGACGACAGAGUUAAACUGUCUCAAAAAAAGAAAAGAAAAGAAAAGAAAGCCAGUUCAGAGUUGGUGUAUGAAAGGAUUAGGUAUCACUGAAUUUUAUUUCACUUAUUUUUAUUAAAUUCUAGGGGGCAGGAGUCUUAUAAAGUAAUAAUCCUAAUAAGUCUUAUACAGUUAUAAUCCUAAUAAAGAUAUUGCUAGAAACAUCAAAGCAAAUGCAAACAUGUUUUUAUUGAUUUUACGUAGACAUUAUUUCUCUGUAACCCACAUUUCAUUUCACUCCAAUCCACUGCCCUAUUGAAGAGCGCUUUCUGCUUUCCCGGUGAGUAUCAGAGUAUUCUACCAUAUUCGUUUUCUGAAGAGAAACAUGUAAGCCUCAAGUAUCCUAUUAGAGGCCUUAUGCUACUUGAGGGUACUCAGUGAGUAUUGCAGGUACAUACGAUGCACUUGUCUGGAAGCCUGUGGAGAAAUGCAAAACGGGGUUUCUAAGCAAUAUUUUCUGUUUUCUUUCUGCUCCAUUUUAAGUUUGUGCUAACUUGCCCCCGACCCCGCAACUGCUCACGACCUCCGGUCAAAGUCAACCUUUCCCACCGCGUGGAGUGAGUUGGGAUGCAUACUCGGGAGUUGCAUAAAAGUGUUUUGAGAAAGGGAGAUGCAGAGUUGAAUAAAAGUGUUUUCCGGGAGGGGCCUAGCGGAAAGCAGCAGGUGGCCGAGGCGGGUGGAACCCAGCACUGGCGUAGAGCGUCUCCGGCGUGGGCAUUCGGUCCAGCGAGUCUGUGGGAAUCUUGGAUGCGCGGAGGUUCCGAGACCGCGGUGACUGACGGGGCUGCAAUCGUGGCCAGCAUAAUUGAUCGCUUAGAUGGAGUUCGUUUGUUGUCCUCCCUGCUGAAAAAUCCUCACCCAGCCGUGAAGGCCAGCGCAGCUUGGGCACUCUGUCCAUGCAUCGAAAAUGCAAAGCUUCUACUGGAUAUGGUUGGGUCCCCUGACCAGGAUCUCCAGGAAGCUGCAGCUGGUUGUAUAUCCAAUAUCCGCAGGCUGGCUCCUGCUACAGAAAAGGCCAGAUACACUUGAAAUUUAAAUGGACAUUACAAGCUAUCAAAUUCUACAUGACACAGGACAUGUCACUCCCAUGGCCAGAAAGCCUAAAUUGGGAAACAUUUAUUAGCAAACCCUUUCAACCGUCUAACCCUUUCAACCGUCUAAAUGAAAACACACAAAUUGAAAAUGCACAGAAUGUUUUUCAUCUGAAAAUUGCAUGGAGACUUUUGUUUCCAUUUAAUGUUUUAGAGAUACGGCAUGUAGUAAGAUGGAAAGCCAAUAAACCUCUGAUAAGUUUCUAAGAACUCGAGAAU